CUUGGUUAGCAGUGUUGCUAGAUGCAGUGGUCUUGGUUAGCGGUGUUGCUAGAUGCAGUGGUUAGCGGUGUUGCUAGAUGCAGUGGUUAGCGGUGUUGCUAGAUGGCAGUGAUCUUGGUUAGCGGUGUUGCUAGAUGGCAGUGGUUAGCGGUGUUGCUAAAUGGCAGUGGUCUUGGUUAGCGGUGUUGCUAGAUGGCAGUGGUCUUGGUUAGAGGUGUUGCUAGAUGGCAGUGGUCUUCGUUAGAGGUGUUGCUAGAUAGCAGUGGUCGUCGUUAGCGGUGUUGCUAGAUGCAGUGGUCUUGGUUAGCGGUGUUGCUAGAUGUAGUGGUUAGCGGUGUUGCUAGAUGGCAGUGGUCUUGGUUAGCAGUGUUGCUAGAUGCAGUGGUCUUGGUUAGCGGUGUUGCUAGAUGCAGUGGUUAGCGGUGUUGCUAGAUGCAGUGGUUAGCGGUGUUGCUAAAUGGCAUUGGUCUUGGUUAGCGGUGUUGCUAGAUG
This is a long non-coding RNA of Oncorhynchus tshawytscha (Chinook salmon), 492 nucleotides long. The record is from Ensembl. NCBI's taxonomy places the organism in Eukaryota, Metazoa, Chordata, Actinopteri, Salmoniformes, Salmonidae.